CGACGAGUUCUCGUUGAUGAUUGGUGCUUGCACCGAGAUUCAACAUGGAACGAGUGGCGGACGGGUGAGUAACACGUGGGUAACCUGCCCUUAAGUGGGGGAUAACAUUUGGAAACAGAUGCUAAUACCGCAUAGAUCCAAGAACCGCAUGGUUCUUGGCUGAAAGAUGGCGUAAGCUAUCGCUUUUGGAUGGACCCGCGGCGUAUUAGCUAGUUGGUGAGGUAACGGCUCACCAAGGCGAUGAUACGUAGCCGAACUGAGAGGUUGAUCGGCCACAUUGGGACUGAGACACGGCCCAAACUCCUACGGGAGGCAGCAGUAGGGAAUCUUCCACAAUGGACGCAAGUCUGAUGGAGCAACGCCGCGUGAGUGAAGAAGGCUUUCGGGUCGUAAAACUCUGUUGUUGGAGAAGAAUGGUCGGCAGAGUAACUGUUGCCGGCGUGACGGUAUCCAACCAGAAAGCCACGGCUAACUACGUGCCAGCAGCCGCGGUAAUACGUAGGUGGCAAGCGUUAUCCGGAUUUAUUGGGCGUAAAGCGAGCGCAGGCGGUUUUUUAAGUCUGAUGUGAAAGCCCUCGGCUUAACCGAGGAAGCGCAUCGGAAACUGGGAAACUUGAGUGCAGAAGAGGACAGUGGAACUCCAUGUGUAGCGGUGAAAUGCGUAGAUAUAUGGAAGAACACCAGUGGCGAAGGCGGCUGUCUGGUCUGUAACUGACGCUGAGGCUCGAAAGCAUGGGUAGCGAACAGGAUUAGAUACCCUGGUAGUCCAUGCCGUAAACGAUGAAUGCUAGGUGUUGGAGGGUUUCCGCCCUUCAGUGCCGCAGCUAACGCAUUAAGCAUUCCGCCUGGGGAGUACGACCGC
This 862-nucleotide ribosomal RNA is filed under the name uncultured bacterium. RNAcentral describes it as "bacterial SSU rRNA". It matches the Rfam family "Bacterial small subunit ribosomal RNA", at positions 64 to 889 of the family's 1533-position model. The record is from RNAcentral.